CACAUGCAAGUCGAACGAUGAAGCCCAGCUUGCUGGGUGGAUUAGUGGCGAACGGGUGAGUAACACGUGAGUAACCUGCCCUUAACUCUGGGAUAAGCCUGGGAAACUAGGUCUAAUACCGGAUAGGAGCGCCUACCGCAUGGUGGGUGUUGGAAAGAUUUAUCGGUUUUGGAUGGACUCGCGGCCUAUCAGCUUGUUGGUGAGGUAAUGGCUCACCAAGGCGACGACGGGUAGCCGGCCUGAGAGGGUGACCGGCCACACUGGGACUGAGACACGGCCCAGACUCCUACGGGAGGCAGCAGUGGGGAAUAUUGCACAAUGGGCGCAAGCCUGAUGCAGCGACGCCGCGUGAGGGAUGACGGCCUUCGGGUUGUAAACCUCUUUCAGUAGGGAAGAAGCGAAAGUGACGGUACCUGCAGAAGAAGCACCGGCUAACUACGUGCCAGCAGCCGCGGUAAUACGUAGGGUGCGAGCGUUAUCCGGAAUUAUUGGGCGUAAAGAGCUCGUAGGCGGUUUGUCGCGUCUGUCGUGAAAGUCCGGGGCUUAACCCCGGAUCUGCGGU
RNAcentral lists this ribosomal RNA (562 nucleotides) under uncultured Micrococcus sp. RNAcentral describes it as "bacterial SSU rRNA". It matches the Rfam family "Bacterial small subunit ribosomal RNA", at positions 52 to 627 of the family's 1533-position model. The record is from RNAcentral. Lineage: Bacteria; Bacillati; Actinomycetota; Actinomycetes; Micrococcales; Micrococcaceae.